Molecule: ribosomal RNA, 240 nt
Filed under: uncultured Lactobacillus sp.
Lineage: Bacteria; Bacillati; Bacillota; Bacilli; Lactobacillales; Lactobacillaceae
Description: partial 16S ribosomal RNA
Rfam family: Bacterial small subunit ribosomal RNA
Source: RNAcentral
UAACCUGCCCAAGAGAUCGGGAUAACACCUGGAAACAGAUGCUAAUACCGGAUAACAACAGAUGAUGCCUAUCAACUGUUUAAAAGAUGGUUCUGCUAUCACUCUUGGAUGGACCUGCGGUGCAUUAGCUAGUUGGUAGGGUAACGGCCUACCAAGGCGAUGAUGCAUAGCCUAGUUGAGAGACUGAUCGGCCACAUUGGGACUGAGACACGGCCCAAACUCCUACGGGAGGCAGCAGCA